CAGUCGCCGCGGUAAUACGUAGGUGGCAAGCGUUGUCCGGAAUUAUUGGGCGUAAAGGGCUCGCAGGCGGUUUCUUAAGUCUGAUGUGAAAGCCCCCGGCUCAACCGGGGAGGGUCAUUGGAAACUGGGAAACUUGAGUGCAGAAGAGGAGAGUGGAAUUCCACGUGUAGCGGUGAAAUGCAUAGAGAUGUGGAGGAACACCAGUGGCGAAGGCGACUCUCUGGUCUGUAACUGACGCUGAGGAGCGAAAGCGUGGGGAGCGAACAGGAUUAGAUACCCGCGUAGUCCCUGUCUUUAUACA
RNAcentral lists this ribosomal RNA (301 nucleotides) under uncultured bacterium. RNAcentral describes it as "partial 16S ribosomal RNA". It matches the Rfam family "Bacterial small subunit ribosomal RNA", at positions 509 to 809 of the family's 1533-position model. The record is from RNAcentral.